ACGAACGCUGGCGGCGUGCUUAACACAUGCAAGUCGAACGGAAAGGCCCUGCUUUUGUGGGGUGCUCGAGUGGCGAACGGGUGAGUAACACGUGAGUAACCUGCCCUUGACUUUGGGAUAACUUCAGGAAACUGGGGCUAAUACCGGAUAGGAGCUCCUGCUGCAUGGUGGGGGUUAGAAAGUUUCGGCGGUUGGGGAUGGACUCGCGGCUUAUCAGCUUGUUGGUGGGGUAGUGGCUUACCAAGGCUUUGACGGGUAGCCGGCCUGAGAGGGUGACCGGCCACAUUGGGACUGAGAUACGGCCCAGACUCCUACGGGAGGCAGCAGUGGGGAAUAUUGCACAAUGGGCGGAAGCCUGAUGCAGCAACGCCGCGUGCGGGAUGACGGCCUUCGGGUUGUAAACCGCUUUCGCCUGUGACGAAGCGUGAGUGACGGUAAUGGGUAAAGAAGCACCAGCUAACUACGUG
RNAcentral lists this ribosomal RNA (467 nucleotides) under uncultured bacterium. RNAcentral describes it as "partial 16S ribosomal RNA". It matches the Rfam family "Bacterial small subunit ribosomal RNA", at positions 29 to 507 of the family's 1533-position model. The record is from RNAcentral.